This 253-nucleotide ribosomal RNA is filed under the name uncultured bacterium. RNAcentral's name for it is "partial 16S ribosomal RNA". It matches the Rfam family "Bacterial small subunit ribosomal RNA", at positions 524 to 776 of the family's 1533-position model. The record is from RNAcentral.
UACGUAGGGCGCGAGCGUUGUCCGGAUUUAUUGGGCGUAAAGAGCUCGUAGGCGGCUUGUUGCGUCGGCUGUGAAAUCCCAUGGCUCAACUGUGGGCUUGCAGCCGAUACGGGCGGGCUAGAGUUCGGUAGGGGAGACUGGAAUUCCUGGUGUAGCGGUGAAAUGCGCAGAUAUCAGGAAGAACACCCGUGGCUAAGGCGGCUCUCUAGUACGGUACUGACGCUGAGACGCGAAAGCGUGGGGAGCGAACAGG